This 497-nucleotide ribosomal RNA is filed under the name uncultured bacterium. RNAcentral's name for it is "partial 16S ribosomal RNA". It matches the Rfam family "Bacterial small subunit ribosomal RNA", at positions 28 to 507 of the family's 1533-position model. The record is from RNAcentral.
GAUGAACGCUGGCGGCGUGCCUAAUACAUGCAAGUCGAGCGAACGGACGAGAAGCUUGCUUCUCUGAUGUUAGCGGCGGACGGGUGAGUAACACGUGGAUAACCUACCUAUAAGACUGGGAUAACUUCGGGAAACCGGAGCUAAUACCGGAUGAUAUUUUGAACCGCAUGGUUCAAAAGUGAAAGACGGUCUUGCUGUCACUUAUAGAUGGAUCCGCGCUGCAUUAGCUAGUUGGUAGGGUAACGGCUUACCAAGGCGACGAUGCAUAGCCGACCUGAGAGGGUGAUCGGCCACACUGGAACUGAGACACGGUCCAGACUCCUACGGGAGGCAGCAGUAGGGAAUCUUCCGCAAUGGGCGAAAGCCUGACGGAGCAACGCCGCGUGAGUGAUGAAGGUCUUCGGAUCGUAAAACUCUGUUAUUAGGGAAGAACAUAUGUGUAAGUAACUGUGCACAUCUUGACGGUACCUAAUCAGAAAGCCACGGCUAACUACGUG